RNAcentral lists this ribosomal RNA (274 nucleotides) under uncultured bacterium. Its description in RNAcentral is "partial 16S ribosomal RNA". It matches the Rfam family "Bacterial small subunit ribosomal RNA", at positions 523 to 796 of the family's 1533-position model. The record is from RNAcentral.
AUACGGAGGGUGCAAGCGUUACUCGGAAUCACUGGGCGUAAAGCGCGCGCAGGCGGUCUUUUAAGUUGGAUAUGAAAGCCUACGGCUCAACCGUAGAACUGCAUCCAAAACUAUUAGACUAGAGUGUGGGAGAGGAAGAUGGAAUUAGUUGUGUAGGGGUAAAAUCCGUAGAGAUAACUAGGAAUACCAAAAGCGAAGGCAAUCUUCUGGAACACUACUGACGCUGAGGCGCGAAAGCGUGGGGAGCAAACAGGAUUAGAUACCCCAGUAGUCC